RNAcentral lists this ribosomal RNA (466 nucleotides) under uncultured bacterium. Its description in RNAcentral is "partial 16S ribosomal RNA". It matches the Rfam family "Bacterial small subunit ribosomal RNA", at positions 28 to 507 of the family's 1533-position model. The record is from RNAcentral.
GAUGAACGCUGGCGGCGUGCUUAACACAUGCAAGUCGAACGGAAAGGCUCCUGCUUGCAGGGGUACUCGAGUGGCGAACGGGUGAGUAACACGUGGGUGAUCUGCCCUGCACUUCAGGAUAAGCCUGGGAAACUGGGUCUAAUACCGGAUAGGACGAUGGUUUGGAUGCCAUUGUGGAAAGUUUUUUCGGUGUGGGAUGAGCUCGCGGCCUAUCAGCUUGUUGGUGGGGUAAUGGCCUACCAAGGCGUCGACGGGUAGCCGGCCUGAGAGGGUGUACGGCCACAUUGGGACUGAGAUACGGCCCAGACUCCUACGGGAGGCAGCAGUGGGGAAUAUUGCACAAUGGGCGCAAGCCUGAUGCAGCGACGCCGCGUGGGGGAUGACGGCCUUCGGGUUGUAAACUCCUUUCGCUAGGGACGAAGCGCAAGUGACGGUACCUGGAGAAGAAGCACCGGCUAACUACGUG